RNAcentral lists this small RNA (139 nucleotides) under Gammaproteobacteria bacterium. RNAcentral's name for it is "RtT sRNA". It matches the Rfam family "RtT RNA". Rfam says of the family: This family represents a bacterial cis-regulatory element known as RtT RNA. Lineage: Bacteria; Pseudomonadati; Pseudomonadota; Gammaproteobacteria. The record is from RNAcentral.
UUUAUUGGCUUGUUCGGAGGGUGAAGAGAAGCUCCUCGGUUCGAGCCGAGGCCAACGCAGUUGGCCGAGACAGCGCCGGCUUUGCCGGCGACCCCGCAGGGGUGAGGCCGCAGGCCGAAUAAUCCUUCCGGGCGCGCCA